This 497-nucleotide ribosomal RNA is filed under the name uncultured bacterium. RNAcentral describes it as "partial 16S ribosomal RNA". It matches the Rfam family "Bacterial small subunit ribosomal RNA", at positions 28 to 507 of the family's 1533-position model. The record is from RNAcentral.
GAUGAACGCUGGCGGCGUGCCCAAUACAUGCAAGUCGAGCGAACAGACGAGGAGCUUGCUCCUCUGACGUUAGCGGCGGACGGGUGAGUAACACGUGGAUAACCUACCUAUAAGACUGGGAUAACUUCGGGAAACCGGAGCUAAUACCGGAUAAUAUAUUGAACCGCAUGGUUCAAUAGUGAAAGACGGUUUUGCUGUCACUUAUAGAUGGAUCCGCGCCGCAUUAGCUAGUUGGUAAGGUAACGGCUUACCAAGGCAACGAUGCGUAGCCGACCUGAGAGGGUGAUCGGCCACACUGGAACUGAGACACGGUCCAGACUCCUACGGGAGGCAGCAGUAGGGAAUCUUCCGCAAAGGGCGAAAGCCUGACGGAGCAACGCCGCGUGAGUGAUGAAGGUCUUCGGAUCGUAAAACUCUGUUAUUAGGGAAGAACAAAUGUGUAAGUAACUAUGCACGUCUUGACGGUACAUAAUCAGAAAGCCACGGCUAACUACGUG